GGUGGGGUUUAGGAUUUAGGGUUUAGGGUUUAGAGUUUAGGGUUUAGAUUUUAGAUUUUAAGGUUAAGGGUUUAGGGUUUAGGGUUUAGGGUUUAGAGUUUAGGGUUUAGGGUUUAGAGUUAAGAAAUGAGGUUUUGGGGAUAAGAUUUCAAAUUUUGAAAAAUAAAAAAAUUAAAAUUUUCAAAGUUCAAAGGAUAAACUUAAAAAUGUGCUAUUUUGGUCAUUUUAAUUUUUAAGUGCUAUUUUUGUGAUAUAAACUUAGAAAUGUGCUAUUUUGGAGAUUUGUCCUUACAUUUAUAAUCAAUGAACACAGACAAAUAUCUUUUGUACCAUUAUGUCGCCACUACAAAUAAUAUUCCAGUGAAGGCAAAAAACAUUCUCUUGCCUAUCCUGCUUUGAAAAGGAAAUGCAAACCGAUGUGUCGCAGACGUGUCACUAUAAAUUCCCAAGUGUCAAAAAGUUAACAGCGAUUCGUAAUCUGUAUUGUGCGAUUCCACGUUUCUUACGAGCAUAUCACACUCCUUGGCGAGGUCAGUAGAAGGCGGAAACGAGUCCAAAAUCUCAUCAAUUUUGUUCCCACACCUAUAAAAAACCAACGAUCUCUCGUUCCCUUAUCAAACUCAAAUCAAUCUUCUGUGUUUUUCAUUUGCCCUUCUACGCUUGAUUGAGCGGUUUAUUUGAAAAAAAAUGAUUAAUGUCUGCGAUUUUUU
RNAcentral lists this long non-coding RNA (710 nucleotides) under Brassica napus (rape). RNAcentral describes it as "long non-coding RNA (BNAP_LNC021209)". Lineage: Eukaryota; Viridiplantae; Streptophyta; Magnoliopsida; Brassicales; Brassicaceae. The record is from RNAcentral.